Molecule: ribosomal RNA, 497 nt
Filed under: uncultured bacterium
Lineage: Bacteria
Description: partial 16S ribosomal RNA
Rfam family: Bacterial small subunit ribosomal RNA
Source: RNAcentral
GAUGAACGCUGGCGGCGUGCCUAAUACAUGCAAGUCGAGCGAACAGACGAGGAGCUUGCUCCUCUGACGUUAGCGGCGGACGGGUGAGUAACACGUGGAUAACCUACCUAUAAGACUGGGAUAACUUCGGGAAACCGGAGCUAAUACCGGAUAAUAUAUUCAACCGCAUGGUUCAAUAGUGAAAGACGGUUUUGCUGUCACUUAUAGAUGGAUCCGCGCCGCAUUAGCUAGUUGGUAAGGUAACGGCUUACCAAGGCAACGAUGCGUAGCCGACCUGAGAGGGUGAUCGGCCACACUGGAACUGAGACACGGUCCAGACUCCUACGGGAGGCAGCAGUAGGGAAUCUUCCGCAAUGGGCGAAAGCUUGACGGAGCAACGCCGCGUGAGUGAUGAAGGUCUUCGGAUCGUAAAACUCUGUUAUUAGGGAAGAACAAAUGUGUAAGUAACUAUGCACGUCUUGACGGUACCUAAUCAGAAAGCCACGGCUAACUACGUG